Ceratitis capitata (Mediterranean fruit fly) is the source of this 388-nucleotide long non-coding RNA. RefSeq lists it as uncharacterized. NCBI's taxonomy places the organism in Eukaryota, Metazoa, Arthropoda, Insecta, Diptera, Tephritidae. The record is from RefSeq and is a predicted model, not a curated record. The transcript has 3 exons.
GCCAGAAUUCCUCCUGAGUUCUGGAGACGGGGAUCGUAAGACAGGGCCGAAUCUUCAGGCAAUCCUCAAGCUGAAAAAGAAAUAAAAACCUUCUCCAACAAAUAAAGACGGCCGCAAAACCAAAGUUGAAGAUGUGUUAGUGAGAGGUAAAAACUCAUUGGACUUUUAACGCCAUUCAACAUAAUAAACAAUAAAGAGUGAGAUAAUACGUGUGAGCUGUGAGCUCACAAUUGUACGAUGAAAUUGAGGCCACUGAUUUUAUACUAAGAGGACGAUAACAUGAAAUCUCAAGAAGCUUGAAUCGUCAGCACUUGUAUUACAUCUAAUUAAGAUUAUAAAUAUGACAAAUGAAGAAUCCGUUUACUAUGUUCACCAUCUAUUGAUUAAA